AGGCAUAGUUCUCCAGAGCAUUCUUGGCCUCCACUUUCUUCUUAUGCUCCUCAUCCUCAGCCUUGUACUUUUCAGCCUCCUGCACCAACUUCUCAAUCUCCUCCUUGCUCAGCCUUCCCUUGUCAUUGGUAAUGGUUAUCUUGUUCUUCUGCCCUGUGGUCUUGUCCUCAGCCGACACAUUUAAUAUACCAUUUGCAUCAAUAUCAAAGCAGACGGUAAUCUGCGGGACACCCCUAGGAGCAGGAGGGAUGCCAGAAAGCUCGAACUUGCCAAGCAGAUUGUUGUCUUUUGUCUUAGCCCUCUCGCCCUCAUACACUUGGAUCAACACACCAGGCUGGUUA
Molecule: unclassified non-coding RNA, 341 nt
Filed under: Hevea brasiliensis (rubber tree)
Lineage: Eukaryota; Viridiplantae; Streptophyta; Magnoliopsida; Malpighiales; Euphorbiaceae
Source: RNAcentral